Molecule: ribosomal RNA, 229 nt
Filed under: uncultured bacterium
Lineage: Bacteria
Description: partial 16S ribosomal RNA
Rfam family: Bacterial small subunit ribosomal RNA
Source: RNAcentral
CAUGCAGGCGGCCUGUUAAGUCAGGAUGGUGAAAGCCCGGGGCUUAACCUCGGAAUUGCAUUUGAAACUAGGCAGGCUAGAGUCUUGUAGAGGGGGUAGGAAUUUCAGGUGUAGCGGUGAAAUGCGUAGAGAUCUGAAGGAAUACCAGUGGCGAAGGCGGCCCCCUGGACAAAGACUGACGCUCAGAUGCGAAAGCGUGGGGAGCAAACAGGAUUAGAUACCCUGGUAG